AACAAAAGAAAACGCAGCCUGGACUCUUCAAACGGCGAGAAGAACCCCAUCGAGUGCGACCUCAGAAAUAAACGAGACUUAGUACCUGCAAGGAGAGACAAACAUGGAUUCAUCUGUUUCCAAGCUGUUUCUGGGGGAUGUUCUUGGAUUCCUGUGUGACAACCCUGUUACACAGCAGUGUGCAGAGACUGCUGACUUAGGGGAUGGAGAGGCACAGCUGACUUUUGUUCCAUGCACAGUAAUGAAAAUCAAAAGUGUCACCGACUGACUAGGCGCCUCGAGAAACUCAAAGGCUGCACAGACUGCAUCCCAUGUUUAGAGGAACGUCAAAGGAAGGCUUGUCCUCGCCAGCACCCGGCAGAAGCAGCCCCUCAGUGUGCAGGCAUGAAGGUGUCCUCAGAGAGCCGCAGGAAGAAAAGGAAGACAGAGGUAGAAGAAGAUG
Molecule: long non-coding RNA, 442 nt
Organism: Diceros bicornis minor
Lineage: Eukaryota; Metazoa; Chordata; Mammalia; Perissodactyla; Rhinocerotidae
Exons: 4
Source: RefSeq, a predicted model, not a curated record